UGUAACGAUAGAUAUCACGAAGGCCGUGUAAAUGUCACAUAUAUGCAUAAUAUACAAUGCUUAAUAUAUUUUGUGAAUGCAACAUUAAACAUACACAUAUAUAUAUUUUUUUAUAAAUAUUGAGUCGUUUCAUCGUUUUCAAGUGUCAAAGCCCAAAGGUAAUUAAUUUAAUUUAUAAAAAUGUAAUGUUUUCGAUGGUUAGCGGUGUAAAUCAAUUUCAAUUAAUGUGUGCAUAUCAACCUUGUAAGACGGAAAGAGCAUUUUUUUGUGGAAAAUUUGUUUUUCAAGAGAUCGUUGUGGAUUAAACCAUACAGCGUUAUAAAUUAUCUAUUACGACUAUACAAUCAAACGCCCUCGAACACCGAAUGGAUUAAUAUGACCCAAUCCGAACUCGUGCCAACUUUCGAUCUUCACCAUAGUUGGACGAGACUUGCGAGUACGAGUGGCAUACGGCGUUGGCUAGUAAACCCAGGAAUUGAAAAUUGGGAGAAGUGUAAUUUAUGUGACUAAGACUUUGUCGCACAAACAUCUCUGUAUCAGCUUAUUAUACUUGAUAUAAGGAAACAUGUGGAUACGUAAGAUAUACGCUGUGUUAAGAAACAUAAUUCAACCGACGACAAGUUUGUUCACAGUGACUGCCCGCACCUGUUAAGUGGUUAGUGCCAUUAAAUAUGCAAAUCACAACACUUUAAAUUCCCCCUCCGCCAUUGUAUCUGAAAAAAGUUAUCACUGUUUUUAGUUUUACCUUUUAAAUAAUAUAACAUUAUUAUUGAAACAUCAGGUUUCUCAAUGUUAAAAAAUAAAAUUCUUAAUCAACCUUUUUGUUUUUAUUUUAAGUAUAAGUAAGUUUGUAUGUUUACUUACAGUAUAUUGUUAUUUAUAUAAGUGAAGAAGUUUAAAAUAAAUACUGCAGCAAGUCUAAAGAAAUCUAUAACGUAAGUAGGUAAUCAUUAUUUUUUUUUUUUACACAGUA
This is a long non-coding RNA of Metopolophium dirhodum (rose-grain aphid), 973 nucleotides long. RefSeq lists it as uncharacterized. The transcript is spliced from 3 exons. Lineage: Eukaryota; Metazoa; Arthropoda; Insecta; Hemiptera; Aphididae. The record is from RefSeq and is a predicted model, not a curated record.